CAAUCCCUCUUGUCACCCCAUUCUUGACCACAUAAGGUCUUGAGCCUUCUCCAUCAUUUUCUUGCCAAGUAAGAGUUACGCGAAAUAUAUGUUACACUGAAAAUGACUUUAUCACAAGUGCAAAAACUGUAAUGAAAAAAAGCC
Long non-coding RNA from Rhodamnia argentea, 144 nucleotides. RefSeq lists it as uncharacterized. The record is from RefSeq and is a predicted model, not a curated record. The transcript has 2 exons. NCBI's taxonomy places the organism in Eukaryota, Viridiplantae, Streptophyta, Magnoliopsida, Myrtales, Myrtaceae.